UACGUAGGAGGCGAGCGUUAUCCGGAUUUACUGGGCGUAAAGAGGGCGCAGGCGGCUUUUCAAGUCGGGUGUAAAAUCUCCCCGCUUAACGGGGAGGGAUCAUUCGAUACUGUUGAGCUAGAGAGUAGUAAAGGGAGGUGGAAUUCCCGGUGUAGUGGUGAUAUGCGUAGAUAUCGGGAAGAACACCAGGGGCGAAGGCAGCCUCCUGGGCUAUUUCUGACGCUGAGGCCCGAAAGCGUGGGGAGCGAACAGGAUUAGAUACCCUCGUA
RNAcentral lists this ribosomal RNA (269 nucleotides) under uncultured prokaryote. RNAcentral's name for it is "partial 16S ribosomal RNA". It matches the Rfam family "Bacterial small subunit ribosomal RNA", at positions 524 to 792 of the family's 1533-position model. The record is from RNAcentral.